Molecule: ribosomal RNA, 505 nt
Filed under: Phrynomantis bifasciatus (banded rubber frog)
Lineage: Eukaryota; Metazoa; Chordata; Amphibia; Anura; Microhylidae
Description: partial 16S ribosomal RNA
Rfam family: Bacterial large subunit ribosomal RNA
Source: RNAcentral
GGUACCCUAACCGUGCGAAGGUAGCGCAAUCACUUGUUCUUUAAAUGAGGACUAGUAUGAAUGGCAUCACGAAGGCUACACGUCUCCCCCCUCCAAUCAGUGAAACUGAUCUCCCCGUGAAGAAGCGGGGAUAAAACCAUAAGACGAGAAGACCCCAUGGAGCUUAAAACUCAGUUCCACCUGCACACCAAUAUAUCACAUCAACCCUGCAGAUCUGCUUACUAGUUUUCGGUUGGGGUGACCAUGGAGCAAAACAAAACCUCCACGACGAAAGGACAUCUCCCUAAUCCAAGAGCAACAACUCUAAGAAUCAAAAAAUUGACGUUACUUGAUCCAAGUUUAUUUGAUCAACGAACCAAGUUACCCUGGGGAUAACAGCGCAAUCCAUUUCAAGAGCUCCUAUCGACAAAUGGGUUUACGACCUCGAUGUUGGAUCAGGGUAUCCUAGUGGUGCAGCCGCUACUAAAGGUUCGUUUGUUCAACGAUUAAAACCCUACGUGAUCUG